RNAcentral lists this ribosomal RNA (474 nucleotides) under uncultured organism. RNAcentral describes it as "partial 16S ribosomal RNA". It matches the Rfam family "Bacterial small subunit ribosomal RNA", at positions 331 to 797 of the family's 1533-position model. The record is from RNAcentral.
GUACACUCCUACGGGAGGCAGCAGUGGGGAAUUUUGGACAAUGGGCGAAAGCCUGAUCCAGCAAUGCCGCGUGAGUGAAGAAGGCCUUCGGGUUGUAAAGCUCUUUUGUCAGGGAAGAAACGGUGAAAGCUAAUAUCUUUUGCUAAUGACGGUACCUGAAGAAUAAGCACCGGCUAACUACGUGCCAGCAGCCGCGGUAAUACGUAGGGUGCAAGCGUUAAUCGGAAUUACUGGGCGUAAAGCGUGCGCAGGCGGUUUUGUAAGUCUGAUGUGAAAUCCCCGGGCUCAACCUGGGAAUUGCAUUGGAGACUGCAAGGCUAGAAUCUGGCAGAGGGGGGUAGAAUUCCACGUGUAGCAGUGAAAUGCGUAGAUAUGUGGAGGAACACCGAUGGCGAAGGCAGCCCCCUGGGUCAAGAUUGACGCUCAUGCACGAAAGCGUAGGGAGCAAACAGGAUUAGAAACCCUAGUAGUCCC